AGGCUGUGUAGUAUUUAAUAAAGUUGCACAGUGUUAUGUAGUAUUUAAUCAUGAGGUGUAGUAUUUAAUCAGGCUGUGUAGUAUUUAAUAAAGUUGUACAGUGUUGUGUAGUAUUUAAUCAUGAGGUGCAGUAUUUAAUAAAGUUGUAUAGUGUUGUGUAGUAUUUAAUCAUGAGGUGUAGUAUUUAAUAAAGUUGUACAGUGUUGUGUAGUAUUUAAUCAUGAGGUGUAGUAUUUAAUCAAGUGUAUAGUGUUGUGUAGUAUUUAAUCAUGAGGUGUAGUAUUUAAUCAUGAGGUGUAGUAUUUAAUCAAGUUGUAUAGUGUUGUGUAGUAUUUAAUCAUGAGGUGUAGUAUUUAAUCAGGCUGUGUAGUAUUUAAUAAAGUUGUACAGUGUUGUGUAGUAUUUAAUCAUGAGGUGUAGUAUUUAAU
This is a long non-coding RNA of Ictalurus punctatus (channel catfish), 428 nucleotides long. Lineage: Eukaryota; Metazoa; Chordata; Actinopteri; Siluriformes; Ictaluridae. The record is from Ensembl.